AGGAUGAACGCUGGCGGCGCGCUUAACACAUGCAAGUCGAACGAUGAAGCCGGAGCUUGCUCUGGUGGAUUAGUGGCGAACGGGUGAGUAACACGUGAGUAACCUGCCCUUGACUCUGGGAUAAGCACUGGAAACGGUGUCUAAUACCGGAUACGAGCUUUAGCCGCAUGGCUAGGAGCUGGAAAGAAUUUCGGUCAAGGAUGGACUCGCGGCCUAUCAGGUAGUUGGUGAGGUAACGGCCCACCAAGCCUACGACGGGUAGCCGGCCUGAGAGGGUGACCGGCCACACUGGGACUGAGACACGGCCCAGACUCCGUACGGGAGGCAGCAGGUGGGGAAUAGUUGACACAAGUGGGCGCAAGCCUGAUGCAGCAACGCCGCGUGAGGGACGACGGUCCGUUCGGUUACGUAAACCUUCGUUUUAAGGUAGGAAGAAGACGAAAGUCGACGGUACCUAGAC
This 460-nucleotide ribosomal RNA is filed under the name uncultured soil bacterium. RNAcentral describes it as "bacterial SSU rRNA". It matches the Rfam family "Bacterial small subunit ribosomal RNA", at positions 26 to 484 of the family's 1533-position model. The record is from RNAcentral.